ACGGGAGGCAGCAGUGGGGAAUAUUGCACAAUGGGCGAAAGCCUGAUGCAGCGACGCCGCGUGAGUGAUGAAGUAUUUCGGUAUGUAAAGCUCUAUCAGCAGGGAAGAUAAUGACGGUACCUGACUAAGAAGCACCGGCUAAAUACGUGCCAGCAGCCGCGGUAAUACGUAUGGUGCAAGCGUUAUCCGGAUUUACUGGGUGUAAAGGGAGCGCAGGCGGUACGGCAAGUCUGAUGUGAAAGCCCGGGGCUCAACCCCGGUACUGCAUUGGAACUGUCAAGCUAGAGUAUCGGAGAGGUAAGUGGAAUUCCUAGUGUAGCGGUGAAAUGCGUAGAUAUUAGGAGGAACACCAGUGGCGAAGGCGGCUUACUGGACGAUAACUGACGUUGAGGCUCGAAAGCGUGGGGAGCAAACAGGAUUAGAUACCCUGGUA
RNAcentral lists this ribosomal RNA (433 nucleotides) under uncultured Roseburia sp. RNAcentral describes it as "partial 16S ribosomal RNA". It matches the Rfam family "Bacterial small subunit ribosomal RNA", at positions 341 to 792 of the family's 1533-position model. Lineage: Bacteria; Bacillati; Bacillota; Clostridia; Lachnospirales; Lachnospiraceae. The record is from RNAcentral.